GAACCAAAGACAAUAUCCGAAGUGUCUUACCUGGACUAAGGGGGGGAAAGAACUGGACAGGAGGAAGAGCAGAGAAGCACAGAAUCUAUGUUGGUCAAAGUCCACAGGAAACACAGCCAUCUACCUGGAAAUGUUGGAGCAUUUCAUGCUUCCUUCUGCUGAUAAGCUUUAAUGAGAUGCUGAUUUGACUUUCCAGUAGGACUUGACAACUGCCUACACUGCCAAAGGAGGAAGCUGAGAGACCCCAG
This is a long non-coding RNA of Fundulus heteroclitus (mummichog), 248 nucleotides long. RefSeq lists it as uncharacterized. The transcript is spliced from 3 exons. The record is from RefSeq and is a predicted model, not a curated record. Lineage: Eukaryota; Metazoa; Chordata; Actinopteri; Cyprinodontiformes; Fundulidae.